GUUUUUUGUUUUUAUUUAGAGAGAGAGAGCACAUGCUUAUACACUUGGUGGGAAGCUGGGCAGAGGGAGAGGAAGAGAGAGAAUCUUAAGCAGGCUCCAUGCCCCACAAGAUCCCAGUGCAGGAGACAAUUUUGUCUUCUAAUUCACUGAGGAAUCAGAGCCAUUUGUCCGGAUCUCUCAGUUUCCCUCUCUGUAUCCCACCGACUUGUUAGCAGCUCCUCACACUUACUGGCUUUCCACGGAAAAAGGGAACAGGCUCUCUCAUCUAUCCCUGGACACAGAGCCCAACUUUUAGGCUCC
RNAcentral lists this long non-coding RNA (300 nucleotides) under Mustela putorius furo (domestic ferret). Its description in RNAcentral is "lncRNA (ENSMPUG00000027262.1)". The record is from RNAcentral. Lineage: Eukaryota; Metazoa; Chordata; Mammalia; Carnivora; Mustelidae.